GAGAGAAACAUCCUUCCUCCCAAACACACACCUCCACCUGAGCCCAACCUGAGCAACGACCUGCGCAAGGUCAACUGCAGCCCCGACACUUUUCGUUGUACACUCACUAACAUUCCUCAGACUCAAGCGCUGUUGAAUAAAGCUCGUCUGCCUCUUGGAUUACUGCUGCAUCCCUUCAGAGAUUUAACGCAGUUACCAGUCAUCACCUCUAACACUAUAGUUCGUUGUCGUUCGUGUCGGACGUAUAUAAACCCUUUUGUUUCGUUUCUGGAUCAGCGCAGGUGGAAGUGUAAUCUGUGUUACAGAGUCAAUGAUGGUAAGAGUCUUACAA
Sinocyclocheilus rhinocerous is the source of this 331-nucleotide long non-coding RNA. RefSeq lists it as uncharacterized. Lineage: Eukaryota; Metazoa; Chordata; Actinopteri; Cypriniformes; Cyprinidae. The transcript has 3 exons. The record is from RefSeq and is a predicted model, not a curated record.